Molecule: long non-coding RNA, 268 nt
Filed under: Erythranthe guttata (spotted monkey flower)
Lineage: Eukaryota; Viridiplantae; Streptophyta; Magnoliopsida; Lamiales; Phrymaceae
Description: long non-coding RNA (EGUT_LNC001845)
Source: RNAcentral
AUGUUAGAAAAAAAUUUGGUUAAAAAAUAAGUUGAAUAACAUAUAAAAUAUUGAGAAAUAAAAAAGUUGCUUCCCUCGGCAUUUUCAAUGUCUAGUGGUCAUUUGGCUGGUUUUGUCCAUUUCACUACUAUAGGGGGGGAGGUGUCCAAGGAGGGUGCUAGGCCAAGGUGCUAGCACCUUUGCCCAAGGUGCUAGCAACUUUGGCAAAAGAGGGCCUGCCGCGCCCCCCUGCGGCAGGAAUGGUGGGCCAGUGGUGGCGGGCGGGCGG